UUGUGCUCAGUCAUGUACCCCUUAUUGUCUCCCCAGUGGUGAAAUACAGCCCCUGCCUGUAUCACAUCUCCCCUGGACCCACAUAGCAGUGGACUUCAUCACAGACCUGCCUGCUUCGCAAGGGUACAAUGUCAUAAUGAACGUAUCAGCUCUGAAGUACAGCAUUCUUGUAAUGAGGAGGUUGGUGAAGAGCUUCUCUCAGCAAAUUCUGUCAAUGAAGAAAAGACAGUAUUAUGAUGCCAUCACCUGUAGUGGUCUGAUAUGUAAGUUUGUUUAAUUCAUCACUUCACUAAAAUUAAAGAGAUGAUGACUUAAACUAGCUCAUUUUAUUUGAUUUAGGUGACAUAGAGACAGAAAACACACCAGAAAAUUCUGAUGAUAUCAAUCGUGGCCAGGCUCCUGAUAGUGUAGCAAGUAUGGUGGUAGAGGUGAGAACACAGUGGCAGUUUAGGUGUAGACCAUUCUAAAUGUUUUCUCUUUACUUGCACAUUCCAACUGCACUGCUUAGCAUUAAUAAAAGAUGGGCUGGCCUCUAUUUAGCAUCUGACACAUGAUGUAUUACAGCAUAGUGAUAAUUUGUGCUGUGAGAAUACUGACCAAUCUAAAACAUUAUAGACAUGUGCUCAGUGUGCUUUGAAGAAUCA
Long non-coding RNA from Electrophorus electricus (electric eel), 644 nucleotides. RefSeq lists it as uncharacterized. The record is from RefSeq and is a predicted model, not a curated record. NCBI's taxonomy places the organism in Eukaryota, Metazoa, Chordata, Actinopteri, Gymnotiformes, Gymnotidae.